UAAGCAAUAUGCUAAUAGAAUACAGCUUCUGCUGAAGAAAACUAAUUGGGUUAAGUAAUUGUGAAAGAGGAUAGAGCUUAACUUAAAGUACUCAUGUUUCAAUUAACUCGGCUUGCUUCUUGAAAGCAAUAUAGAUAAAACAAAAGGAGGUCUAAGAAUGACUGUUGUGUGACAGUACCUGCAAUGGGAAUGUAAAUGCAAAGCACUUAAAAUCAGCUGUUACUGCAGAGCUAGUCCUGUAAUAGUUCAGAGCCCUUGCUGGAAUAAGGCAAAUCCCCUCCCUUUUAAUCAAGGAGUCUGAAAAUGGAAACAGGAAUCUUCUGGGAGAUAGCAAAUAGGCAUGCACAUGGUGUUCAUCUCAAAGAGCUGCAGCUGACACUACAGGCUUCAGUGUGAAAGGAAGCCAUUAGUCUUGCUCAGGCAGGAAAAAAAAUGCUGGAGGUUUAAUUUGACCCUUAACCUUCCCUGAGACAAUCACAAACUUGAAUUGUCACAAAGAAGCCCUUGGUGCCAUGCUGCAGCUUCAGUGGGGUGGUUUAGAGGAAGUGAACUACAAGCAGGUGUGCUCUCCACCAUAUGCCCAGUGAGGUUUUAGCAGAUGUUUUGCACAUGUGAAUGCUCUCAAAACCCCCAAAGUAGUCUUUAUCUUCAGAAUAGGCACUGUAAGAACAACUAAUCAAGACCCUGAUGGUUUCUUCUGAACAAAUAGACAAAGUGAAUGCAAAGAGUCAGUGGCACAGACAAGGAUCAGUGAUCACUGAACUACAACUGUCUCCAAUUUAAUGAACAAUUUAAUGAACAAUUAAAUAAUAAUAAUUUACAGCAAUGGAAAUAUCACAAAGCAAUAUAGUCCAUCUGUAUGAAGAAUACGUUGGUACUUAAUAUUUGCUGUGCAGAUUGCUAAUAAAACCUAAUGGCCAUA
Long non-coding RNA from Aquila chrysaetos chrysaetos, 922 nucleotides. RefSeq lists it as uncharacterized. The transcript has 2 exons. The record is from RefSeq and is a predicted model, not a curated record. Lineage: Eukaryota; Metazoa; Chordata; Aves; Accipitriformes; Accipitridae.